RNAcentral lists this small RNA (163 nucleotides) under Streptomyces sp. RNAcentral describes it as "c-di-AMP sequence". It matches the Rfam family "c-di-AMP riboswitch aptamer (ydaO/yuaA leader)". Rfam says of the family: This family represents a conserved RNA structure found upstream of the ydaO and yuaA genes in Bacillus subtilis and related genes in other bacteria. The record is from RNAcentral. Lineage: Bacteria; Bacillati; Actinomycetota; Actinomycetes; Kitasatosporales; Streptomycetaceae.
GGGCAGCCAUCGCCGAGUCCCCGUCAGGCGCGAGCCUGGGGAGCCGGGGACCCAUGUCCCUGGGGUGAAUCGGAUGCCUUCGCCGGCCGUGCGGAGGUGCCCGUAGGAGACCUUCCUGCUCCGAACCCGUCAGCUAACCCGGUAGGCGAGAAGGAAGGAAAGG